This is a long non-coding RNA of Sitophilus oryzae (rice weevil), 620 nucleotides long. RefSeq lists it as uncharacterized. The record is from RefSeq and is a predicted model, not a curated record. NCBI's taxonomy places the organism in Eukaryota, Metazoa, Arthropoda, Insecta, Coleoptera, Curculionidae. The transcript is spliced from 2 exons.
GAAAUGAAAGUCAAAAGGAGAAAGCAUACGAAUUUUACAUUGAAUAGAAAAAGACAUCCAUAUUAUUUUAUUGACCAGAUCAUUAAAUAAAGAAAAACGAAUUACAGGAGGCAGUUCAUAUGUGCCACGCUUGUGCCACGAAAUGACGAAAUCCCACCUGUUGUUAUGAUGUGGAAAGUGGAAAGUAAACGGUAACCUAAAAAGCUAAAAUAAAAAAUAACAUAUCUGCUGGACACGUAUUAAUAGUACAUUAAUCAAUUUUUAGCUUAUUUUGUAUUUCUUUACAGUGCAGUAUCCAGUAUCUAACAACAUAUUUCUAUAUCUAAAAUGCCUAAGCAAUUGAAAGGUGGAAAGGCAAAAGUCACAUCAAAAGAAAAACAAAAAUUAAAAAAGGAAUAUCAAGAAGCGCAAAAGAAGAUUUACACAAUUGCACUCCCUACACUAGCCGUUAUAUUUCUGUUUAUAGUUGUUUAUGUAUAUUUAAAAAGUAGGCCUAGAAGUGAUUAUAUCGACUGAAGCGACAAGUAUACGAUUUUAAGAGGUAAAAUUAAAACACAAAAAAUAUGAAUUCCUAAAUUUUAUUAUUUUGUACAAAAUAAAUAAAUAGUUUUUUAAAAACC